Molecule: ribosomal RNA, 551 nt
Filed under: uncultured Acaulospora
Lineage: Eukaryota; Fungi; Glomeromycota; Glomeromycetes; Diversisporales; Acaulosporaceae
Description: SSU rRNA
Rfam family: Eukaryotic small subunit ribosomal RNA
Source: RNAcentral
UUGGAGGGCAAGUCUGGUGCCAGCAGCCGCGGUAAUUCCAGCUCCAAUAGCGUAUAUUAAGGUUGUUGCAGUUAAAAAGCUCGUAGUUGAAUUUCGGGAUUUAUCCGUCGGUCGGGCUUUUGGGUCUGUACUGGCGUGAUGGAUUCCUACCUUCUGAAUAACCGGCAUGUCAUUAAUUUGGUGCGCUGGGGAAGCAGGACUGUUACCUUGAAAAAAUUAGAGUGCUUAAAGCAGGCUAUUGCCUGAAUACAUUAGCAUGGAAUAAUGAAACAGGACGGCAUGGUUCUAUUUUGUUGGUUUCUAGGAUCACCGUAAUGAUUAAUAGGGAUAGUUGGGGGCAUUAGUAUUCAAUUGUCAGAGGUGAAAUUCUUGGAUUUAUUGAAGACUAACUUCUGCGAAAGCAUUUGCCAAGGAUGUUUUCAUUAAUCAAGAACGAAAGUUAGGGGAUCGAAGACGAUCAGAUACCGUCGUAGUCUUAACCAUAAACUAUGCCGACUAGGGAUCGGAUGAUGUUAAUUUUUUAAUGACUCAUUCGGCGCCUUACGGGAAAC